GUGAGGAAUAUUGGUCAAUGGACGAGAGUCUGAACCAACCAAGUCGCGUGAAGGAAGACGGUUCUAUGAAUUGUAAACUUCUUUUGUGCAGGAAUAAAGUGGGUUACGUGUAACCUUUUGUAUGUACUGUACGAAUAAGGAUCGGCUAACUCCGUGCCAGCAGCCGCGGUAAUACGGAGGAUCCGAGCGUUAUCCGGAUUUAUUUGGUUUAAAGGGUGCGUAGGUGGAUUGAUAAGUCAGCGGUGAAAGUUUGCAGCUUAACUGUAAAAUUGCCGUUGAAACUGUCGGUCUUGAGUGCAAAUGAGGUAGGCGGAAUGUGUUGUGUAGCGGUGAAAUGCUUAGAUAUAACACAGAACUCCGAUUGCGAAGGCAGCUUACUGGGAUGCAACUGACACUGAUGCACGAAAGCGUGGGUAUCAAACAGGAUUAGAUACCCUAGUAGUCC
RNAcentral lists this ribosomal RNA (445 nucleotides) under uncultured bacterium. Its description in RNAcentral is "partial 16S ribosomal RNA". It matches the Rfam family "Bacterial small subunit ribosomal RNA", at positions 354 to 796 of the family's 1533-position model. The record is from RNAcentral.